Molecule: long non-coding RNA, 2109 nt
Organism: Mesocricetus auratus (golden hamster)
Lineage: Eukaryota; Metazoa; Chordata; Mammalia; Rodentia; Cricetidae
Exons: 2
Source: RefSeq, a predicted model, not a curated record
CCAGGGAGUAAAAACGGCUCUCUGUGGUCCCCUGUCCACACCAGAAUGAAGCUCCUCCCAUCUGCCUCCACUGUCUCCACUCUGCCCAUCCCUAGAUGGCUUAGCAUCAGGCCCCUCCACCUCCUCUCCUCCACUUCCUCUUACUUCCUCUUGGGCUUUGGAAGCAUAGCCCUGAGUGGUUUCUAUUGGGAGUUAGUGGCAGCCGGCCCUCGCCCUGGUUUCUCUCCUCUUAUUUUUGAGCCUGACUGAAUUGUCCCAUCUCUGAACCCUCUGUGUCCUCUUCCAGUUUCAGGCAGGUUUUGAAAAACUCAAGAUUGGCCCUGGAAUCUGGAGUCUGAGACACCAAGACCACUCACACGGUCAAUUCCCCAGUCACCAAAUCUAUUUUUAUUGCCAGUAAGCCACUUCAGGUCAAGCUGAGCAGAGGGGGCUCAUUUUCAACAUGAAGGCCUUAAUUCUAGAUGUGGAGAGUCAGGAGACAUAUGCAGACUUACCCUCACUCCUUCCCACAGGUGUGCCCCUCUCCCGCCCCCCCCCCCAUCCCUCAGUUCCUUGGACUCUGGCCAGGGCUGUUUCAAGCCGCCCAGUCGAAUGCCUGCAAUGAUUCGUGCCUGCUGGGAAUGAGGCCCCCAAGGGCUAAAAGCUUUGCCUGGCACCAAAGGCUGAAAGACAGUCUAUGCCUUGAUACACUCUUUCAGCUCGAGCCCCUGGCUCAGUCUUUUCCAAGUACAUUCUUAAAGUCCGAGGGAACCUAAAGCCAAUCUGAGAAUAAACCCCCUUUAGGCGAAAAAAUGUAAAGAAACGUCGUCAGGGACCCUUUGUUUAGAAAUUUUGCAUUGGCAGGCUGGAAGGGGUUUCACCAGAAAAGGGGUUCCCCCCUGCCACAUGGAGGACACGGAAAGAAGGGGAGUCCCCACUAGAGGUGCAGCCUCUGAGUCUUAAACCGGACACCCGCCAGGGCCUCCCGCCAUCGCCUAAGCGAAAAUCCCGGAAACUGGCCGCUCUGGGAGAGGCAGGCACCGUGGAAAAGGUGACCUCAGCGCCCCAGACCAACCACCCUCCCGGGUGGCCUGGCAAUAGGGACUCCAGGCAGCAGGGGGUCCUCGGCGGUGCAAUUUCCUCGCCAAGAGGGGGCCCUCGAGCUGAAACGUCCCCUUUCCUACUUGCGAGCCCGAAGGAUCCCAGGGCUUCAGCCGGCCGUGCCGGGUAGAAGAGAGGAAUGGGUUACCCGAUGAAACAGCCUACCCCCAGAGCAUGAGUGUGAGAUGGAUUCCUACCACCUCCAGCCGCAGUUUCUUCCCCAAGCGCGCACAGGAGGGGCGGCAUUCUGGAGCCGAUCUACUCGGGAAGUGGUCCCUGAGCCACGAGGCAGAUAGAGCAGCCCAAGGCCAGGUCAGUGGCCAGCAUCAGGGUGCUUCUAAGUGGGGCUUCCCUCUAACCCUCUCCGGACCGUAAAGGUUUCUUUUUGUCUCCUUUCCCACUUGCAAUCGAUAUGUUUCUUACUCGGCAAAAUGAAUUUGAGACCGCGAGUGGCUGCAAGGAAGAUUUAUGAAAAUGCUCGCUUCACCUCUGGGUAUUGACAACCACCCGGCUGGGAUUCCGAUUUCCUUCCCCAGUCCACAGCAAACUCUGAGCUUCCCCAAGUUCGCCAUGCUCCCAGGGCGCUCUGGUUAAUCAGCUGUAAGGAGCAGCAUGAGAAGUCCGAAGGCCCAUACUUGGGGAGAGAAGACAGAUGAAUGGUGAUCAGUGUUGGAGAAGCCGAAGUCACCUGCUUAAGCUACGUCACCUUUCUCGAGUGCCAGGUCCAUUUCUUGUACACCAUUAACAGUUGUGGUGGUUAGUUUCAAUUGCCAACUUGCCAUCAACGAGGGAUGGUUUUGAUUGCCUUAAGCGAAGACCCAGCCUCAACACAGGCAGCAUCGUUCCUUGGUUUAGGGCUUUGGACUGUACGAGAGUAGAGAAACCUCGUUGAAAUCUAAGUAUGCAUGUUUUUAUUUCUUUUCGCUCUUCACUAUGGAUAUGACUAGUUGAUUUGGGUUCCAGCCAACUUCCUGCAACAAUGCAUUUUAACCUGAAUCUGUAAGCUGAAAUAAACCCUUUCUGCUCAAA